AGCGAACGCUGGCGGCAGGCUUAACACAUGCAAGUCGAGCGGGCAUCCUUGUGGUGUCCGCGGCAGACGGGUGAGUAACGCGUGGGAACGUGCCCUUCGGUUCGGAAUAACUCAGGGAAACUUGAGCUAAUACCGGAUACGUGCGAGAGCAGAAAGGUUUAUCUGCCGAAGGAUCGGCCCGCGUCUGAUUGGCUAGUUGGUGAGGUUACGGCUCACCAAGGCGACGAUCAGUAGCUGGUCUGAGAGGAUGAUCAGCCACACUGGGACUGAGACGCGGCCCAGACUCCUACGGGAGGCAGCAGUGGGGAAUAUUGGACAAUGGGGGCAACCCUGAUCCAGCCAUGCCGCGUGAGUGAUGACGGCCUUAGGGUUGUAAAGCUCUUUUCUCCGGGACGAUAAUGACGGUACCGGAGGAAUAAGCCCCGGCUAACUUCGUG
RNAcentral lists this ribosomal RNA (437 nucleotides) under uncultured bacterium. RNAcentral's name for it is "partial 16S ribosomal RNA". It matches the Rfam family "Bacterial small subunit ribosomal RNA", at positions 29 to 507 of the family's 1533-position model. The record is from RNAcentral.